CUUGAGAGAAGGACACUCCGCAGCGCUUAUAUAGAACCACUCCCGUCCCAGUAACAUGCGGGUCCCAGAACCACGGCCUAAACAUGCUCCCCCGGUACCUGCACCUCAUCUCUCAUCAGAACAAGUGAGAAGGCAGAGCCAAGGGUGGAAAGCAGGAGCGUACUCAGCACAACUUAAGGUCCAGCGAUUUUGCCUGGGGCAGCAGCCAGCCUCCCAUCCCUGCACACAGCACCACGGAGGCUGGAGAGCCUGCUGCCCCGGGAUACUGUCCACAGUGUCUGCACCAAGCCGAGGUUGAAGAUGCUUUCCAAGGCCCUCCUGGAUUCUAAUUCUCAUUGGCUGAAGGUAGGGAGCUGGAGCAGGAUGCAGGAACCUCACGGGAGUGAACAGAGGGUGUGUUUGGGGCUCAUUACCAUCCUGCUAUUUGAUGUGACAGACUUUUUGCUUGAGCAAACAGACUUCCAAACCUUUUCUUGGGCCCCCUCUGUGCUCUUCCUUGUAAAAUCUAGUUUUAGUGAGUCCCGCAUCCUUCACAUCUGAACCCCCUUAAUAUCUAGUCAUCCCACACCAUCACCCCAGGGAGAUGUCCAAACCACCCUGCCCUUUCUCCAUCAAGAAUCCUAAGUCAGUUUAGCCAAACCCCUCUGACCCCUAAAGCUUCCCCUUAGGAAGUUCCCAUCCACUGACCCCCUCCCUGCUCCUUAGCUAUAAAUCCCCAGGUGGCCAUACAAAAACCAGUUGGGAAAGGGUCAGGAAGAGUAUAUGCCACGUGUCUGCUUCUAUUAAGACCUUCACUUGGAAAUCCUCCCCCCCCCCCCCCCACCUCCAUGACCUCAAUUCUAAAACCUUCCCCCGUGACAGCAAUCCAUCUUUCCUGCUCAGGACUUUCCUGCUCAGCAUCUGACUGAUGCUGGUCAGAUGUAGGAGGAUGAGAAUAAUUACUCUUUUAAAAAUUUUUUAUUUAAUUUUUGGUUGCACUGGGUCUUUGUUUCUACUCUUAGGCUUUCGUGGAGGUGAGCAUGGGCUGCUCUCUAGCUUCCUGGCGCACAGGCUUCUCAGGGAAGUGGUUUCUCUUGUUGCAGAGCAUGGGUUAUAGGGUGAGAGCUCAGUAGUUGGGGAGCACAGGCUUAGUUUCCCUGUGGUAUGUGGUAUCUUAGUUCCCAGGGACUGAACCCGUCUCCCCUGCACUGGCAGACGGAUUCUUAACCACGGGAACACCAGAGAAGUCCACCUCA
RNAcentral lists this long non-coding RNA (1235 nucleotides) under Cervus hanglu yarkandensis (Yarkand deer). RNAcentral's name for it is "lncRNA (ENSCHYG00000010608.1)". Lineage: Eukaryota; Metazoa; Chordata; Mammalia; Artiodactyla; Cervidae. The record is from RNAcentral.